UACGUAGGGGGCUAGCGUUGUCCGGAAUCAUUGGGCGUAAAGCGCGUGUAGGCGGUCCGGUAAGUCCGCUGUGAAGGUCGGGGGCUCAACCCUCGAAUGCCGGUGGAUACUGUCGGGCUAGAGUGCGGAAGAGGCGAGUGGAAUUCCUGGUGUAGCGGUGAAAUGCGCAGAUAUCAGGAGGAACACCAAUUGCGAAGGCAGCUCGCUGGGACGUUACUGACGCUGAGACGCGAAAGCGUGGGGAGCAAACAGG
RNAcentral lists this ribosomal RNA (253 nucleotides) under uncultured bacterium. RNAcentral describes it as "partial 16S ribosomal RNA". It matches the Rfam family "Bacterial small subunit ribosomal RNA", at positions 524 to 776 of the family's 1533-position model. The record is from RNAcentral.